This 83-nucleotide ribosomal RNA is filed under the name Debregeasia elliptica. Its description in RNAcentral is "partial 28S ribosomal RNA". The record is from RNAcentral. Lineage: Eukaryota; Viridiplantae; Streptophyta; Magnoliopsida; Rosales; Urticaceae.
ACGCCUCGCUUUGUGAAGAGCGGAGCUUACAACGCGACCCCAGGUCAGGCGGGGCUACCCGCUGAGUUUAAGCAUAUCAAUAA